AGUGGCGGACGGGUGAGUAACGCGUGAGAAUCUGCCUUCAGGUCGGGGACAACAGAGGGAAACUUCUGCUAAUCCCGGAUGAGCCUUAGGGUAAAAAAUUUAUUGCCUGGAGAUGAGCUCGCGUCUGAUUAGCUAGUUGGUAAGGUAAAAGCUUACCAAGGCAACGAUCAGUAGCUGGUCUGAGAGGAUGAGCAGCCACACUGGGACUGAGACACGGCCCAGACUCCUACGGGAGGCAGCAGUGGGGAAUUUUCCGCAAUGGGCGAAAGCCUGACGGAGCAAGACCGCGUGGGGGAGGAAGGCUCUAGGGUUGUAAACCCCUUUUCUUUGGGAAGAACAAAAUGACGGUACCAAAGGAAUCAGCCUCGGCUAACUCCGUGCCAGCAGCCGCGGUAAUACGGAGGAGGCAAGCGUUAUCCGGAAUGAUUGGGCUUAAAGCGUCCGCAGGUGGCAAUGUAAGUCUGCUGUCAAAACCCAGGGCUCAACUCUGGUCAGGCAGUGGAAACUACAUAGCUAGAGUUCGGUAGGGGCAAAGGGAAUUCCCGGUGUAGCGGUGAAAUGCGUAGAGAUCGGGAAGAACAUCGGUGGCGAAAGCGCUUUGCUAGACCGAAACUGACACUCAGGGACGAAAGCUAGGGGAGCGAAUGGGAUUAGAUACCCC
Molecule: ribosomal RNA, 661 nt
Filed under: uncultured bacterium
Lineage: Bacteria
Description: bacterial SSU rRNA
Rfam family: Bacterial small subunit ribosomal RNA
Source: RNAcentral